This 2073-nucleotide long non-coding RNA is filed under the name Canis lupus familiaris (dog). Its description in RNAcentral is "lncRNA (ENSCAFG00030001779.1)". Lineage: Eukaryota; Metazoa; Chordata; Mammalia; Carnivora; Canidae. The record is from RNAcentral.
AUCAGAACAUUAAAUACACAGCACCGCAGCCUGGGCCCGGCCCGGCCUCUGGCGUGUGGCGCGAGGCCCUCCGCCUCGCCAGCGGGCCCGGCCCUGGUUCCGCGCUCCCGGGAGUGCCGGGCCCCCGCGCAGCCGGCGCAGCUCGGGUCACCCCUGGUGGGGGUUUCUCCGCUCCUGCCUCCCCCGCCGACGCCGUCCCAGGAGGAGGGCGGAGAGGCGCGGCCGGGCUUCCUCGCCGGGACCCCGCGGGCCUCUGCGCGGAGGGCGGAGCGGGAGGGGGGCCCGGCGAAGGCGGGAGAGGGCGAGCCGGAGGGGAGCACGGGGAGGCCGGGAAGGGCGUCACUGCUCGCUUUCCGCUUCAGGAGCGGGCGGCAGAGGCGGCGGGGCGGAGCGGGCGGCGGCGACGGGGUUCGCAGCGGUCCUCGCCUCCACUCCUCCGUGGGCCGCGCGGAGGGAGCGCGGGCGCGGCCGGCUGCACCCACCCGGGCCGGAGGGCAGGGCGCGGGGGGGGGUGCUGCGCGGGGGGCUCCGCGGGCUGGGCGGCCGCGCGUCUCCCGGACACUAGGGCUCCGGCUGCACCCACCCGGGCCGGAGGGCAGGGCGCGGGGGGGGGGGGCGCGGGGGGGCUCCGCGGGCUGGGCGGCCGCGCGUCUCCCGGACACUAGGGCUCCGGCUGCACCCACCCGGGCCGGAGGGCAGGGCGCGGGGUGGGGGGGGGCGCGGGGGGGCUCCGCGGGCUGGGCGGCCGCGCGUCUCCCGGACACUAGGGCUCCGGCUGCACCCACCCGGGCCGGAGGGCAGGGCGCGGGGGGGGGGCGCGGGGGGGCUCCGCGGGCUGGGCGGCCGCGCGUCUCCCGGACACUAGGGCUCCGGCUGCACCCACCCGGGCCGGAGGGCAGGGCGCGGGGGGCUCCGCGGGCUGGGCGGCCGCGCGUCUCCCGGACACUAGGGCUCCGGCUGCACCCACCCGGGCCGGAGGGCAGGGCGCGGGGGGGGGGGUGCUGCGCGGGGGGCUCCGCGGGCUGGGCGGCCGCGCGUCUCCCGGACACUAGGGCUCCGGCUGCACCCACCCAGGCCGGAGGGCAGGGCGCGGGGGGGGGGGCGGGCGGGGGGCUCCGCGGGCUGGGCGGCCGCGCGUCUCCCGGACACUAGGGCUCCGGCUGCACCCACCCAGGCCGGAGGGCAGGGCGCGGGGGGGGGGUGCUGCGCGGGGGGGCUCCGCGGGCUGGGCGGCCGCGCGUCUCCCGGACACUAGGGCUCCGGCUGCACCCACCCGGGCCGGAGGGCAGGGCGCGGGGGGGGGGGCGCGGGGGGGGCUCCGCGGGCUGGGCGGCCGCGCGUCUCCAGGACACUAGGGCUCCGGCUGCACCCACCCGGGCCGGAGGGCAGGGCGGGGGGGGGGGCGCGGGGGGGCUCCGCGGGCUGGGCGGCCGCGCGUCUCCCGGACACUAGGGCUCCGGCUGCACCCACCCGGGCCGGAGGGCAGGGCGCGGGGUGGGGGGGGGCGCGGGGGGGCUCCGCGGGCUGGGCGGCCGCGCGUCUCCCGGACACUUGGGUUCCGGCUGCACCCACCCGGGCCGGAGGGCAGGGCGCGGGGGGCGGGCGCUGCGCGGGGGGCUCCGCGGGCUGGGGCGGCCGCGCGUCUCCCGGACACUUGGGCUCCGGCUGCACCACCCGGGCCGGAGGGCGGGGCGCGGGGGGGGGCUGCGCUGGGGUGCUCCGCGGGCUGGGCUGCCGCGCGUCUCCCGGACACUAGGGCUCCGGCUGCACCCACCCGGGUCGGAGGGCAGGGCGCGGGGGCGGGGGGCGCUGCGCGGGGGGCUCCGCGGGCUGGGCGGCCGCGCGUCUCCCGGACUCUAGGGCUCCGGCUGCCAUCGGGCCGCGGCCGGGACGGAGCUCCCUGCGCUCCCCCGGGGGCCUCGGCGGCGCGGCCCCGCAGCUCCACGCACGCGGCGAUGCGGGCGCGGAGGGGCGGGCGGGCGGGGGCGCGAGGCUGCCGCCAGCCGCCCGGAGCCGCUGUCCACUGCUGAAGCGCCGGCCGCCGGCGCCGCGCUGCCCGCCUGGAGCGACUCU